Molecule: ribosomal RNA, 492 nt
Filed under: uncultured bacterium
Lineage: Bacteria
Description: partial 16S ribosomal RNA
Rfam family: Bacterial small subunit ribosomal RNA
Source: RNAcentral
AGUGAACGCUGGCGGUAGGCCUAACACAUGCAAGUCGAACGGCAGCACAGUAAGAGCUUGCUCUUACGGGUGGCGAGUGGCGGACGGGUGAGGAAUACAUCGGAAUCUACUUUUUCGUGGGGGAUAACGUAGGGAAACUUACGCUAAUACCGCAUACGACCUACGGGUGGAAGCAGGGGAUCUUCGGACCUUGCGCGAUUGAAUGAGCCGAUGUCGGAUUAGCUAGUUGGCGGGGUAAAGGCCCACCAAGGCGACGAUCCGUAGCUGGUCUGAGAGGAUGAUCAGCCACACUGGAACUGAGAUACGGUCCAGACUCCUACGGGAGGCAGCAGUGGGGAAUAUUGGACAAUGGGCGCAAGCCUGAUCCAGCCAUACCGCGUGGGUGAAGAAGGCCUUCGGGUUGUAAAGCCCUUUUGUUGGGAAAGAAAAGCAGCAGGUUAAUACCCCGCUGUUCUGACGGUACCCAAAGAAUAAGCACCGGCUAACUUCGUG